This 375-nucleotide ribosomal RNA is filed under the name uncultured bacterium. RNAcentral's name for it is "bacterial SSU rRNA". It matches the Rfam family "Bacterial small subunit ribosomal RNA", at positions 523 to 898 of the family's 1533-position model. The record is from RNAcentral.
AUACGUAGGUGGCAAGCGUUGUCCGGAUUUACUGGGCGUAAAGGAUGCGUAGGCGGAUAUUUAAGUGAGAUGUGAAAUUCCCGAGCUUAACUUGGGAGCUGCAUUUCAAACUGGAUGUCUAGAGUGCAGGAGAGGAGAAUGGAAUUCCUAGUGUAGCGGUGAAAUGCGUAGAGAUUAGGAAGAACACCAGUGGCGAAGGCGAUUCUCUGGACUGUAACUGACGCUGAGGCAUGAAAGCGUGGGUAGCAAACAGGAUUAGAUACCCUGGUAGUCCAUGCCGUAAACGAUGAGUACUAGGUGUAGGAGGGUCCAACCUUCUGUGCUGCAGUUAACGCAAUAAGUACUCCGCCUGGGAAGUACGAUCGCAAGAUUAAA